UAUUUAUUCAUGAGGGAUACAGAGACAGAGAGAGAGGCAGAGGCACAAGGCAGAGGGAGAAGCAGGCUCCACGCAGGGAGCCCGAUGUGGGACUCGAUCUUGGGUCUCCAGGAUCACGCCCUGGGCUGAAGGCGGCGCUAAACUGCUGAGCCACUGGGGCUGCCCUUGUCUUGACCUUUGGAAGGCCAAAUAGCUCACUUCCUUGUCAUUUAUGUUUAUGACACUACAAACUGGGCAGUGGUCAAUGUGAUCACUCAUCUGUCUUAGCAGCAUAAAAAUGUCAGUGAUACUCAAGCAUGUCGUUCUGAUUUAGUACUAACAUUUCUGCAUUUACUUUCAUCUAUAGGCCACAUUCUUGAUGUGACUUGGCGUGGAAAUCUCCUUAUCCCCUUCAUGUUGGGAUUCUAUCAGUUAGCGGGGUGUUCAUGUACCACAGAGGCUGCUCUCCAGGGUGAACUUGACUCUUCCCUGUUGCGGCCAAAGAACAUUCAUUCUGUGGAGAUAAGAAGCAACCCAUCUGCAUCCUUUCGAUGGAAGCAGGAAGCACACACAGCCCGGAAUACGAGGAGGAGGCCCCCACGGACAACUGGAGAAGGAGCAAAGCAACCAAGUGGUUCUUGAAGGGGAAUGGCUUAUGCCAUGAGGACCAAAAGGCUUCUGCCCAGAUGACUGCGAAUUUAUAAAAGUGGUUAGAAAUAAGGACUGGACAACUGGGGGUUUUUUCCUCCUGUUUUCUGUACCCAGAAUCUACACAAACAUCAAACCUAUUGGCUCUGGACAUUUUAGACGACGGGAGUACUAGAAGAACGACACUGUACUACUAAGGUGAGCAGCUGAACGCUCAACAGCAGUAUGGUCAUUUCAUAUCCAGGGGUUCAAAGAAUCUGGGGUUCAAUCAUUUUCCUUAACUGAUAAGCCAUGUUAUCCCAGAUCAAUGAUUUUUACCUCUUAGGCUUUACUUUUCUCAGCACAAUGGGAACAUUCACUUGGGAAACACUCCACUUGAGUUGUCCUUAGGAUUGCAUAAUAAUAAUUUAUUUGUGUGCACUUACUAUAUGCCCAGUGUAUACUAAAUGCUUUAUAUACAUAUUACCUCAUUUAAUUCACACAACCCCCUCUCAGAAGUAGGACUGCUAUUACCUCAGUUUUACAGAUGGGUAAGGUGAGGCACUGAGAGGUUAAGUAACAUGCCCAAAGUUAAAGCUGGUCAAUGUUGGAGCCUGAAUUCGAACUCAGGCAGACUUAUUCCAGAGCUUGUUCAUUUCUUAGUGGGCUACCAAAAAACUGAACAACGAUGACAAAAAGAGCAGACCCCCAACCCCCCAAAACCCAAACCAACAACCAAAAACAAAAAACAAAUCCUGGAAUAUCACUCAGCCAUUAGAAACGACAAAUACCCACCAUUUGCUUCGAUGUGGUUGGAACUGGAGGGUAUUAUGCUGAGUGAAGUAAGUCAAUCGGAGAAGGACAAACAUUAUAUGGUCUCAUUCAUUUGGGGAAUAUAAAAAUUAGUGAAAGGGAAUAAAGGGGAAAGGAGAGAAAAUGAGUGAAAAUAUCAGUGAGGGUGACAAAACAUGAGAGACUCCUAACUUUGGGAAAUGAACAAGGGGUAGUGGAAGGGGAAGUGGGGGUUGGGGGUUGGGGGUGGGUUUGGGGUGACUGGGUGACCGGCACUGAGGGGGACACUUGACGGAUGAACACUGGGUGUUAUGCUAUAUGUUGGCAAAUUGAACUCCAAUAAAAAAAAUUAAAAAAUAAAUAAAAAUAAAUAAAAAACAAACAAAAACAAAUCCUUUAGAAGAAAAGGAGAAAGAAUAUACAGACUGUUGAGUGGAGUGCUUAGUACAUAACAAGCACAAGAGGAGCUAGCUAUUGUUAUUUUGAUGUCUCCUCACUUGAAUUCGAGAAGUUGACUUGUGCAAAAAAUUGCAUAAGGAGGCAGGAAAAAGAUGGUUUCUUUGCUGUAUUGGUGCUUUUCGAUUUUUCCACAAAGAAUCUUAGGU
Molecule: long non-coding RNA, 2003 nt
Filed under: Canis lupus familiaris (dog)
Lineage: Eukaryota; Metazoa; Chordata; Mammalia; Carnivora; Canidae
Description: lncRNA (ENSCAFG00000040348.3)
Source: RNAcentral